AUAGGUUGGUGCAACUGUUUGAAACCAAGAUGUGUCUGAUGGAUGCGUUCAAGAGGCCACUGUCAGUAAACUGACAGAUGCAAGCUGGUAUACUGUAGUUUUUGAUGACGGUGAUGAAAGGCUUUGAGACGGACAUCGUUGUGUCUGAAGGGAGAGAGGCACUUUGCAGAAAGUGAGACACUUGACCAACUGCCACUAACAAACCCAGAGCACUUUGGAACGCCGGUGAUUGGGAAGAAAUCCAACAGAGGAAGGAGAUCCUCUCUUCCUGU
This is a long non-coding RNA of Lacerta agilis (Sand lizard), 272 nucleotides long. RefSeq lists it as uncharacterized. Lineage: Eukaryota; Metazoa; Chordata; Lepidosauria; Squamata; Lacertidae. The record is from RefSeq and is a predicted model, not a curated record. The transcript has 3 exons.